This 493-nucleotide ribosomal RNA is filed under the name uncultured bacterium. RNAcentral describes it as "partial 16S ribosomal RNA". It matches the Rfam family "Bacterial small subunit ribosomal RNA", at positions 28 to 507 of the family's 1533-position model. The record is from RNAcentral.
GAUGAACGCUAGCUACAGGCUUAACACAUGCAAGUCGUGGGGCAGCGGAUACUUAGCUUGCUAAGUAUGCCGGCGACCGGCGCACGGGUGAGUAACGCGUACCGAACCUGCCCAUCACACAGGGAUAGGCUUGCGAAAGCAAGAUUAAUAUCUGAUGGUCUCAAUUUUAUGCAUGUAUGAUUGAGUAAAGCCUUCGGGCGGCGAUGGAUGGCGGUGCGUCCCAUUAGGAAGUUGGCGGGGUAACGGCCCGCCAAUCCUUCGAUGGGUAGGGGUUCUGAGAGGAAGGUCCCCCACAUUGGAACUGAGAUACGGUCCAAACUCCUACGGGAGGCAGCAGUGAGGAAUAUUGGACAAUGGGCGAGAGCCUGAACCAGCCAAGUAGCGUGCGGGAUGAAGGCCCUUGUGGUCGUAAACCGCUUUUAUCAGUGAAUAAAGUGCACCACGUGUGGUGUCAUUGCAGGUAGCUGAAGAAAAAGGACCGGCUAAUUCCGUG